AUAUUUUUUUACCCAUACAUGCUCUGUUUUAGUUCGAUUUGUAUGAUAUGUUACUCCAGGCAUGGAGAAAGCAGAUGCAGUAUAUUAAAUCCCCUCAAAAGAGACAUAUUAUCCAUAGAAUGCAAAGAGAGGCUGUAUCCAUAGAAUGCAUAGAGAUAUUCUAUCCAUAGAAUGCAUAGAGAGGUUCUAUCCAUAGAGAGGUUCUAUCCAUAGAAUGCAUAGAGAGGUUGUAUCCAUAGAGAGGUUCUAUCCAUAGAAUGCAUAGAGAGAUUAAGAAACACAUGCUGAGGAAAACUUCACUUCAAGUCUGGCGGAAUUGAUGUUAAUGUAAUUUGGCAGGCGCUUUUGUUUAGGAAAAAAAACAGUCAGAAAUAAGGCAUUAUGCAUUAUAUGACAAACAGUAUUAUUGUAACAAUAUUGUAACGAUAUUGAAUAUCAGAUUGGUAAUAGUAAAGACAUUGCUCACAGCAUCAAACAUGUAAACAAAAACAGCAAAGCACACUCUCGAGUGGAUUUGUUCUCCAUGUGUGUAGUACAUUUAGUCAUUUAGCAGACGCUUUUGUCCAAAACGACCUACAAGAGAGCAGCAGAGCAGGCUUUUGAAGGGCUUGUUGAAAGGUGGUUUGUAGAUGACUUGAGUAGGGGUGAAUACUAAUCACAGGAGGUGGCAAAACUUCAGGGCUACACUUAAAGAGGGUCAGUGCAUGAAUGAAAUACAAUCAUACACA
This is a long non-coding RNA of Clupea harengus (Atlantic herring), 728 nucleotides long. The record is from Ensembl. Lineage: Eukaryota; Metazoa; Chordata; Actinopteri; Clupeiformes; Clupeidae.